This 107-nucleotide small nucleolar RNA is filed under the name Arabidopsis thaliana (thale cress). Its description in RNAcentral is "Plant small nucleolar RNA R71". It matches the Rfam family "Plant small nucleolar RNA R71". From Rfam's summary of the family: R71 is a member of the C/D box family of snoRNAs containing the C (UGAUGA) and D (CUGA) box motifs. Multiple nearly identical copies of this snoRNA have been identified in Arabidopsis, and it is thought to function as a 2'-O-ribose methylation guide for 18S ribosomal RNA. RNAcentral also lists the same sequence under 1 other name. The record is from RNAcentral. Lineage: Eukaryota; Viridiplantae; Streptophyta; Magnoliopsida; Brassicales; Brassicaceae.
GAACCGUGAUGGGGGUACUAAGUGGUGUAGCUUUUAAACCUCUCCCAAGCUUCAUAGAAAGUUUCAUUGUUAAUCUCUGUGAAGUCUGAGAUCUCGUUUCUCAAUCU